Molecule: small nuclear RNA, 95 nt
Filed under: Myotis davidii
Lineage: Eukaryota; Metazoa; Chordata; Mammalia; Chiroptera; Vespertilionidae
Source: RNAcentral
GUGCUCGCUUCGGCAGCAUAUAUACUGAAAUUGGAACGAUAGCAUGGCCCCUGCACAGGGAUGACACACAAAUUCAUGAAGCGUUCCAUAUUGAA